RNAcentral lists this ribosomal RNA (253 nucleotides) under uncultured bacterium. Its description in RNAcentral is "partial 16S ribosomal RNA". It matches the Rfam family "Bacterial small subunit ribosomal RNA", at positions 524 to 776 of the family's 1533-position model. The record is from RNAcentral.
UACAGAGGAUCCAAGCGUUAUCCGGAUUUAUUGGGUUCAAAGGGUGCGUAGGCGGCCUUGUAAGUCAGGGGUGAAAGACGGUAGCUUAACUAUCGCAGUGCCUUUGAUACUGCAGGGCUUGAAUGUACUUGAGGUAGGCGGAAUGUGACAAGUAGCGGUGAAAUGCAUAGAUAUGUCACAGAACACCAAUUGCGAAGGCAGCUUACUAAAGUAUGAUUGACGCUGAGGCACGAAAGCGUGGGGAUCAAACAGG